CAUUCAGUAGCCUCGCUACUUGUUUAUACCCUUGUUUUUUUGCGUACUAUUGUUUCCUCGGCGGGCUUGCCUGCCGGUUGGACAAAACUAUAACCUUUUUAAAUCUUCAAUCAGCGUCUGAAUUAUACAUAAUAAUUA
Molecule: unclassified non-coding RNA, 138 nt
Filed under: soil metagenome
Description: partial internal transcribed spacer 1
Source: RNAcentral